Heterocephalus glaber (naked mole-rat) is the source of this 666-nucleotide long non-coding RNA. NCBI's taxonomy places the organism in Eukaryota, Metazoa, Chordata, Mammalia, Rodentia, Bathyergidae. The record is from Ensembl.
GAAAAAGUCCAUGGCAGGGCAGGGCAGAAGGCAGCAAAGUAGUGCAGCAGCAGUAGCAGCAAGGCUUCUGUCCCUUGUAUUUCCUCCAGAGCAGUAAAAGCCACAUUGCCAUUGGUGUUAACCCCACUCAAAAUAUUCCCGCACUGAAUGAGAGUGGACUUUUCUCCAAGCGUCAGUGAUGAGGUGUCCUCUGGGAAGUAGUGUGAGCCACGAGCAUACAAACCCCUCCUGCAGCCCAGCCCCGAGACCUGGGGGAGGCAGCUUCUCCUCCCCACUCUUCCCCUCGGCUGAAGGAAGAGCCAACUUGCAUCCCUCAGGACCAGGUGGAUGGGCUCCUGGACCCCCAGGUACCAAACCCUCUACUGCUCCAGUCCCCUGUGUUAAACGGCGUAGAGUUUGGUACAGUCUGAGCCCGCCCUUCCACCCACAGCUCCUUAAGUCAUCUCCUAUCAUGCAGGCUGCUGCCUGCAUGGUCACUGCACUGCCCGGCAUGGGACAGCGACGAGAAGGACGACCUGUAUGUGCUCGGCACAGAGGCCAUCUUCUCCUUGCAAGUACCCCUCACCCAUUGUUCACUGCAUGUGGGGUGGGAGCCUGCGGCAGGAAGGGGCUGGCUCUCGCUCAUUUCGAGUUCAUCACAGCAAGGGCUCCCUGGUUUUGCUAAGG